Cloeon dipterum is the source of this 1805-nucleotide long non-coding RNA. RefSeq lists it as uncharacterized. The transcript has 3 exons. Lineage: Eukaryota; Metazoa; Arthropoda; Insecta; Ephemeroptera; Baetidae. The record is from RefSeq and is a predicted model, not a curated record.
CUCACAGAAAUUUUUCUCUAUUAGAGACACUUUUUAGGCAUCUCAAGCUGAUUCAGUAAAUAAAGUGUCUCAAAAAGACUCACCUUUGCGAAAUGUGUCUCUAACUGAUGCGUUUUAGCGAUUCCGUCUCAAACUGAGACGGCGCGGCGCGGAUCAGUGUCUCUGAGUGAGACACUUUUUUGAAAAGCGUCUCCCUCUGAGACGCUGCGCUACCGCGCUAGCUCCCGGCCGCCGUUUCUUCGCCGUAUUUGAAGACAUUUCUUCGUUUUCGGGACUUUGGACAUCAUGUGAAUCACGUGUUAUUGUUUUUACAAGCUGUGAAACAUGAUAGGCAACAAAACAGGAUAAAUUUGCAGCUGGAUUGUGUAGUUCUGCGCGGAGGAUUUAAAAAAAAACGAGGUGGUAAAGUAUAAUAAUAUGCCUUUUCAACUCGGACACAAUAUAUUUAUUCUUCUCGUUUAAAAUUGAAAUGAUUUAUUAGAAGGAUUUGGACCAAAUUUUACAUUUCCUCGCUGAAGUUCAGAGUCUAAAAUUUCAGCUCCCUUUCUUCCAACUAUCCGCUCCUGUUGGCCAAACUUCUUUUGUCUUUUAAAACAAAUCAGCUGGAACCAACUAUAAAGUGUUGACAUGAGACAGUCAUGAUUUAUUUCAGAUUUAAAUCUUAAAAUAUGUUGCGAUAUUUAGUUUUCUGAAGUUAAAUUCACAAAAAGGAGGAGUAUAAUUUUAUUUUUAAUUCAUUUCGCAAGAAAUAAGCUUAAAUAAUGUUCUAAAAAAUCCACACAACAGAUGCAAUCCAGUGUGGCUGUUGCCAUCACGCCGAAGAGCCUGGAGCCGGUGCGGUGUGCGUGGCUGUCUCAGCUCAUCCUGACCCGGCUGAUGGCAGUACACUUGUCGUCAAGCCGAAGAACUUCAAGCCUUUGGCGGCUCAAAGGCCUUUUCGGCACGUCAAUAUAUUUUCUCUCCCAUCACGAGUGAGUUGAACCAAGGCGUCAGUUGCGCCAACGCAGAGACGACGUCAGGUGCAUAUCCAGUGUGGCUGUUGUCAUCAUGCCGAAGAGCCUGCAGCCGGUGGUGUGCGUGGCUGUCUCAGCUCGUCCUGACCCGGCUGAUGGCAGUACACUUGUCGUCAAGCCGAAGAACUUCAAGCCUUUAGCGGCUCAAAGGCCUUUUCGGCACGUCAAUAUAUUUUCUCUCCCAUCACGAGUGAAUUUAACGUCAGUUGUGCCAGCCCAGAGUAUAGCCAAUAACAGACGAGGCGGGCUUAUAGCAACAAUGUACGCGACGUGCUGACCGAGCUGCCGAUGGGAAGGUGCAUGCGUCCGUCGACUUCUCCAACUCGUGAUGCCAAUUUCAACCUGCCAUCUGACGAGCCCCGCUCCAUUGGCCUUAUUAGCCCCGUUUGAGUGAAAAGAAAAGCCUGAGCCAGCUUUAUACGACGGCGUUCAAAGGACAAACCGACGUUCGCUCUAUCGUGCGCCACGGGUGUGCCGACGCAUCUUGUGGCGAGUUCUCGUCUUGGACUUUGUGCCCGCAAACUGCACCCUUUGGAGCUUGAAGCUGUGGGAGGACAGCGCUGGGGCGCUGAAUAGCGUGGCGCCGCCCGUGGGCGUCUUUUCGCGGGGGACCCGGUGCGGAGAGCGCGGCGCCACCGUCGGCUGCUGCGACGGUGGCGCCGCAUGCUGCUGUCCUAGCAUGCUGCUGUCCUUUCCACUUCGCGGAAACUAUAUAUUUAAUAAUUGAUUUGAUUGUUUUAGUUAUUGAUUAAAUUGUGUAGUCCUUUAAACCAAAAUAAAAAUAUUUCUCGU